Hyaena hyaena (striped hyena) is the source of this 571-nucleotide long non-coding RNA. RefSeq lists it as uncharacterized. The record is from RefSeq and is a predicted model, not a curated record. Lineage: Eukaryota; Metazoa; Chordata; Mammalia; Carnivora; Hyaenidae. The transcript has 3 exons.
UUGACAUAAAGAUUGUUAUCUGAGACAGAAAAGAACAAUACUUCUGUAAAAAUAUUUGCCUCUCAAAAAGACAGGCUCCACAUGUGGUGCAGAAAUUUUCCACCCCGGCAACAUACAGUAUAAGAUCAGAAUUAAAAGCAUUCCUGAAUGCCUGUGAAGCAUGGCUCAGUCACCCACCAGCUUGUAAUUGAAGCCCAUGAAUCUGCAAUGUUCCAGAGUGAAAACCCAGAGGAGCUGCAGCCAACCCAGACAAACAUGAAACAUAAGCAAGAACACCUUGGCUGUUGGAGAGGAGGAACGCAGGAACUGUGACCAAAUUGAUGGGUAGAAAAGAUUGAUGGAGAGGCAGCAGAGAUGGAGUUGAUGACAACCAUAAAGAAAAGAAAACCCACGUCGCUCCUUCUGAAGCAUCUGCGAGGGGACUCAUGUAUUGUAGCAAUCCUCAAAACAAGUCUUAAUAUAACAGGAAGAAGAGAAAAAUUCACUGGUUUAAUUAAAGUCUGGGCUUCAUCAAGCGGCACUAAGCCUUCUCACUGCAAGAAAAUGACCACAAUAGGUUAGGGAGGGAAUU